This 69-nucleotide transfer RNA is filed under the name Casuarius casuarius (southern cassowary). RNAcentral's name for it is "tRNA-Ala". It matches the Rfam family "tRNA". Rfam says of the family: Transfer RNA (tRNA) molecules are approximately 80 nucleotides in length. Their secondary structure includes four short double-helical elements and three loops (D, anti-codon, and T loops). The record is from RNAcentral. Lineage: Eukaryota; Metazoa; Chordata; Aves; Casuariiformes; Casuariidae.
GAGGCCUUAGCUUAAUUAAAGUACCUGAUUUGCACUCAGGAGAUACAGGUUAAUAUCCUGUUGGUCUUA